Long non-coding RNA from Vulpes vulpes (red fox), 995 nucleotides. Lineage: Eukaryota; Metazoa; Chordata; Mammalia; Carnivora; Canidae. The record is from Ensembl.
CCCGGCUCUCCCACCGCCUGGCUCUCCUACCCCCGGGCUCUCCCACCCCCAUCUCUCCCACUGACGGGCUCUCCCACCGACGGGUUCACUCCUUGCAGGCAGGCGCCGGGUUUCACCUGCUGCCUACCACGGGCCAGCAGCUUCUCGGAGCCCCCGCCCCCUGUCUUUCUGCGGGGACGUAUUUCCUAGGAGAGGUCGCAGCCCCUGAGGCUCUGGCGUACCUGGAGGGGGUCCCUGGGGGCCCUCUGGGAUUUGCUCCUGUGCCCCCCCCAUCCUGGUCAGCUCAGCGGGGGAGGCUGAGCUCUGUGACACCCCCCCCUCCGUCAUCCCUGCGCAGGUGCUGUCAGCCGGGCUUGGGUGGGGGGACUUCCCUGGACGGUCCCUCACCGGCCUGUCUUCCUUCCCGCCACGUAUCAGCAGGGACGUCUCUCCACGCGCCCCUCUCCCCGCGGGCGGCCCCGUCUCUUCUCCCGCGGGCGGCCCCACAAUCUGUGUGCCGUGUGCACGAGGAGGCUGCCUCCCGGAGCCCGGGCACCGGAUGCCACGGCCUGGCCGGCGCUGCUGCAGCUCUGGUGCCCCCUCCCAGCAGGCGCCCGUUACACCCUGAUGCCCCCCAGUACCCUGAGGCCCCCGGCACCCCGAGUCGCCCAUCCCCCUGCACCCGAGGGCUUGCACAGGCGCCCCCCGCCUGGCGCCCUGCUACGGAGGGACGUGUCCGUGAUGCCCCCGCGUGUCCACAGAGCGCACCCCUCUACCUGUGUCCCCGCCCCCCGCAGCCCGGUGUGCGGGAGAGCUCCGGGGCGGCUGCAGUGUCACGUCGGGGGGGGGGGGCNGGGGCCUCGGGGUGUAAGAGGGGGAGCCCCGCACGACCCGGUGCAGGUGUGUCGGAGAGCUCCGGGGCUGCUGCCAGAAGCGCUUCCCGCUCGUGGAGCCGUGUCCUCGUGUCCCGUGGGUUCACAGCGGCGGUCAGUGCAAUCAGCGGGCAUCGGUCAUAA